RNAcentral lists this ribosomal RNA (589 nucleotides) under Salmonella enterica. Its description in RNAcentral is "bacterial SSU rRNA". It matches the Rfam family "Bacterial small subunit ribosomal RNA", at positions 79 to 661 of the family's 1533-position model. The record is from RNAcentral. Lineage: Bacteria; Pseudomonadati; Pseudomonadota; Gammaproteobacteria; Enterobacterales; Enterobacteriaceae.
CUUGCUGCUUCGCUGACGAGUGGCGGACGGGUGAGUAAUGUCUGGGAAACUGCCUGAUGGAGGGGGAUAACUACUGGAAACGGUGGCUAAUACCGCAUAACGUCGCAAGACCAAAGAGGGGGACCUUCGGGCCUCUUGCCAUCAGAUGUGCCCAGAUGGGAUUAGCUUGUUGGUGAGGUAACGGCUCACCAAGGCGACGAUCCCUAGCUGGUCUGAGAGGAUGACCAGCCACACUGGAACUGAGACACGGUCCAGACUCCUACGGGAGGCAGCAGUGGGGAAUAUUGCACAAUGGGCGCAAGCCUGAUGCAGCCAUGCCGCGUGUAUGAAGAAGGCCUUCGGGUUGUAAAGUACUUUCAGCGGGGAGGAAGGUGUUGUGGUUAAUAACCGCAGCAAUUGACGUUACCCGCAGAAGAAGCACCGGCUAACUCCGUGCCAGCAGCCGCGGUAAUACGGAGGGUGCAAGCGUUAAUCGGAAUUACUGGGCGUAAAGCGCACGCAGGCGGUCUGUCAAGUCGGAUGUGAAAUCCCCGGGCUCAACCUGGGAACUGCAUUCGAAACUGGCAGGCUUGAGUCUUGUAGAGGGGGG